Molecule: non-coding RNA, 553 nt
Organism: Pelobates cultripes (western spadefoot toad)
Lineage: Eukaryota; Metazoa; Chordata; Amphibia; Anura; Pelobatidae
Source: the annotation of a GenBank genome assembly
CUCCAACAGUCUUUAGGUUUUUGUGCUCCCAGCAUCUUUGAUCAUUGUUGUAACAGUAAAAUAUCCGUAGUGUGAUCUUUGCCUGUAAAGGUGGUUGAUUAAAAUGAGCAAAGCUUUUGUCUGGGAAAGAAUUGAAAAGAACACCAGGUUCCAGAGUAAGAUAUUCUUGGAUAGAUCCGGAUACGAAUUGUAAUCCAAAGUUAAAAAUAGUAAUUGUAUUUGUAAUCCAAAGUCUUUAAAGACCUGUAGAAGUUUACAUUCCUUAGAUACAUUGCUGGAGGUUGUGUUUGUAGAAUACCCAGGUAUUUGUUGUAGAGUAUAGGUUGUAGAGUCCAGCUUUCCAAGUAUUUGGAUAGAAUUGGUUGCAGAUAUUGAAUCAGCAUCAUCUGUUAUCACCGUGGUGAUGGCGUUGGUAUUUGUCUUUGUCUUUUGUCUUUGCUUUUUAUUUUGUUUGUUUUUUCCAUGAAACAUUUUUACACCGUUUAUGAUGUGUAUAGAUUGGAUACUCUCUGAUAUUCUUUUACGGAAUAAAUUAAUUGACAGCAUUUCCAAG